GCUGCAUUCACAAACAACCCCGACUCCAAGGUCUAAACCCAGAGAGGCUCUGGUCCUGCCGGAAUUUUUCCAAAAACCCGGGCCUUUCAACCCUCUGUGGGCCAUGUCUGUACUACCGUACUCAUUGCUGGACUUGGGGUGGAGCAGAACCUCUGCGGAACGACCUAAACACCGCAUUGCCUAGUAACCAAACGGCCACAGGCUUCGGUGCUGGGCUUUUCCCUGUUCACUCGCCGUUACUGAGGGAAUCCUUGUUAGUUUCUUUUCCUCCGCUUAGUGAUAUGCUUAAGUUCAGCGGGUAAUC
This 304-nucleotide ribosomal RNA is filed under the name Plagiorchis muris. Its description in RNAcentral is "partial 28S ribosomal RNA". Lineage: Eukaryota; Metazoa; Platyhelminthes; Trematoda; Plagiorchiida; Plagiorchiidae. The record is from RNAcentral.